Molecule: ribosomal RNA, 491 nt
Filed under: uncultured bacterium
Lineage: Bacteria
Description: partial 16S ribosomal RNA
Rfam family: Bacterial small subunit ribosomal RNA
Source: RNAcentral
GUGAACGCUGGCGGUAGGCCUAACACAUGCAAGUCGAACGGCAGCACAGUAAGAGCUUGCUCUUACGGGUGGCGAGUGGCGGACGGGUGAGGAAUACAUCGGAAUCUACUUUUUCGUGGGGGAUAACGUAGGGAAACUUACGCUAAUACCGCAUACGACCUACGGGUGAAAGCAGGGGAUCUUCGGACCUUGCGCGAUUGAAUGAGCCGAUGUCGGAUUAGCUAGUUGGCGGGGUAAAGGCCCACCAAGGCGACGAUCCGUAGCUGGUCUGAGAGGAUGAUCAGCCACACUGGAACUGAGACACGGUCCAUACUCCUACGGGAGGCAGCAGUGGGGAAUAUUGGACAAUGGGCGCAAGCCUGAUCCAGCCAUACCGCGUGGGUGAAGAAGGCCUUCGGGUUGUAAAGCCCUUUUGUUGGGAAAGAAAAGCAGCAGGUUAAUACCCCGCUGUUCUGACGGUACCCAAAGAAUAAGCACCGGCUAACUUCGUG